UGGUGGGGACUAAGGGUGUUGUAGUCUGGCUGCUCUUAUUUAUUAGGCAGGUAUUCCCACGGUUUCGGGAGCUCCUCUACAUUCCUAUUGUUUGUAGCAGCAUUGAGUCUUGCGUCUUUCACUAUUUGCAAGUUUUCUGCUGCCGGUAGUUCUGCUUUGCUUGUGGUUUGGUUGAUUACCUUAGCUUCUUGCCAUUUUAUGUCCACAUUGCUCUGGUAUGCUUUGGUUGCCGGCGCUGUUGCUGAGCUCGCCGUUUUUGUAUUCCUUUUGUGUUCUGCAGCACGGUCUUUUGGGUUCCGACAUGUGGCCCCGAUGUGCACCUCCUGGUUGCCUGUGUCUAAAUUUGUUAGUGGUAUCUUGUGCACUCCACUUUUUUCAUCAUCUCUUCUAGGGUCUUUAUUAUUUUUCAGUAG
Molecule: long non-coding RNA, 413 nt
Filed under: Androctonus crassicauda
Lineage: Eukaryota; Metazoa; Arthropoda; Arachnida; Scorpiones; Buthidae
Source: RNAcentral